UAGGGAAUCUUCCACAAUGGACGAAAGUCUGAUGGAGCAACGCCGCGUGAGUGAAGAAGGGUUUCGGCUCGUAAAACUCUGUUGUUAAAGAAGAACAUAUCUGAGAGUAACUGCUCAGGUAUUGACGGUAUUUAACCAGAAAGCCACGGCUAACUACGUGCAG
This 163-nucleotide ribosomal RNA is filed under the name uncultured bacterium. RNAcentral describes it as "partial 16S ribosomal RNA". It matches the Rfam family "Bacterial small subunit ribosomal RNA", at positions 355 to 510 of the family's 1533-position model. The record is from RNAcentral.